Molecule: ribosomal RNA, 504 nt
Filed under: uncultured delta proteobacterium
Lineage: Bacteria; Deltaproteobacteria
Description: bacterial SSU rRNA
Rfam family: Bacterial small subunit ribosomal RNA
Source: RNAcentral
AGAACGAACGUUAGCGGCGCGCCUAAGACAUGCAAGUCGAGCGAGAAAGGGCUUCGGCCCCAGUAAAGCGGCGCACGGGUGAGUAACACGUAGGUCAUCAACCCUCGAGUGGUGGACAACUCUCCGAAAGGAGAGCUAAUACAGCAUAACGCCAGCAAUGGCCAAAGCGGGCCUCUCCAUGGAAGCUCGCGCUUGAGGAUGAGCCUGCGGCCCAUCAGCUAGUUGGUUGGGGUAAUGGCCCACCAAGGCAUAGACGGGUAGCUGGUCUGAGAGGAUGAACAGCCACACUGGAACUGAGACACGGUCCAGACUCCUACGGGAGGCAGCAGUCGGGAAUCUUCCGCAAUGGGCGAAAGCCUGACGGAGCGACGCCGCGUGAGCGAUGAAGGCCUUCGGGUUGUAAAGCUCUGUGGGGAGGGAAGAAUAAGGGCAGGCGAAUACCCUGUUUGAUGACGGUACCUCCUUAGCAAGCACCGGCUAACUCUGUGCCAGCAGCCGCGGUAA